CAGUCACCGCGGUAAUGCGUAGGUGGCAAGCGUUGUCCGGAAUUAUUGGGCGUAAAGGGCUCGCAGGCGGUUUCUUAAGUCUGAUGUGAAAGCCCCCGGCUCAACCGGGGAGGGUCAUUGGAAACUGGGAAACUUGAGUGCAGAAGAGGAGAGUGGAAUUCCACGUGUAGCGGUGAAAUGCGUAGAGAUGUGGAGGAACACCAGUGGCGAAGGCGACUCUCUGGUCUGUAACUGACGCUGAGGAGCGAAAGCGUGGGGAGCGAACAGGAUUAGAUACCCCAGUAGUCCCUGUCUCUUAUAC
This 301-nucleotide ribosomal RNA is filed under the name uncultured bacterium. RNAcentral's name for it is "partial 16S ribosomal RNA". It matches the Rfam family "Bacterial small subunit ribosomal RNA", at positions 509 to 807 of the family's 1533-position model. The record is from RNAcentral.